Molecule: long non-coding RNA, 208 nt
Filed under: Nicotiana benthamiana
Lineage: Eukaryota; Viridiplantae; Streptophyta; Magnoliopsida; Solanales; Solanaceae
Description: long non-coding RNA (NBEN_LNC037678)
Source: RNAcentral
UCCUGAACUAGCAUUGGUACCACCUCCAUGAUCUCCUAUCCCCGAUGACUGAAAUUGUUGCAGCAGAGUCACCAACUGGUUGUACUCUUCCUUGGUAAGGCUCACAUUCUGAGAAUUGUCAUGACUAACAUAUUUAUCAUUUUUUGCAGGUUGAGAUUCAGUGGCUGCCACAUGUGCAUUGGCUAGGGUCAUAAUGCCUCUGUUAAAC